CCUACGGGGGGCUGCAGUCGAGAAUCAUUCACAAUGGGGGAAACCCUGAUGGUGCGACGCCGCGUGGGGGAAUGAAGUUCUUCGGAUUGUAAACCCCUGUCAUGUGGGAGCAAAUUAAAAAGAUAGUACCACAAGAGGAAGAGACGGCUAACGCUGUGCCAGCAGCCGCGGUAAUACAGAGGUGUCAAGCGUUGUUAGGAAUCACUGGGCGUAAAGCGUGCGUAGGCUGUUUCGUAAGUCGUGUGUGAAAUGCGCGGGCUCAACCAGCGGACGGCACAUGAUACUGGGAGACUAGAGUAAUGGAGAGGGAAGCGGAAUUCGCGGUGUAGCAGUGAAAUGCGUAGAUAUCGCGAGGAACACUCGUGGCGAAGGCGGGUUCCUGGACAUUAACUGACGCUGAGGCACGAAGGCCAGGGGAGCGAAAGGGAUUAGAUACCCGAGUAGUC
This 446-nucleotide ribosomal RNA is filed under the name uncultured bacterium. RNAcentral describes it as "partial 16S ribosomal RNA". It matches the Rfam family "Bacterial small subunit ribosomal RNA", at positions 338 to 795 of the family's 1533-position model. The record is from RNAcentral.